AGGAGGCCUUGUCCACCUGAGGCCCGGUGCCUCUCAUGGAGUUGGAGCUGUACUUCCUCAUCGCCCAGUACCUCUCACCGGGUCUGUGUUGGAGAAGGGCCCAGGUGCUGGUGCAGGAGCUGGAGCAGUACCAGUUGUUGCCGAACAGGUUGGACUGGGAGGGCAAUGAGCAUAACAGGAGCUACGAGGAACUGGUCUUGUCCAAUAAGCAUGUGGCUCCUGAUCAUCUGUUGUAAAUCUGCCAGCGCAUUGGUAAUAUGUUGGAUAAAGAAAUUCCACCCAGUAUUUGAAGAGUCACUUCUUUACUUACUGCAGGAAGGCAGUCUUUGCUACUUACAGC
RNAcentral lists this long non-coding RNA (340 nucleotides) under Homo sapiens (human). RNAcentral describes it as "non-protein coding lnc-ATP2B1-1:1". The record is from RNAcentral. Lineage: Eukaryota; Metazoa; Chordata; Mammalia; Primates; Hominidae.